CCUACGGGUGGCAGCAGUAAGGGAUAUUGGUCAAUGGGGGAGACCCUGAACCAGCAACGCAGCGUGAGGGAAGACGGUUUUAGGAUUGUAAACCUCUGUUCUUUGUGAAGAUGAUUAAGGUAGGAGAGGAGGUAGCUCCGGCCAACUACGUGCCAGCAGCCGCGGUAAUACGUAGGGAGCGAGCGUUGUCCGGAUUUACUGGGUGUAAAGGGGGCGUAGGCGGCUUGGCAAGUCAGUAGUGAAAUCCAUGGGCUAAACCGAUAAACUGCUAUUGAAACUGUCGAGCUUGAGUGAAGUAGAGGUAGGCGGAAUUCCUGGUGUAGCGGUGAAAUGCGUAGAGAUCGGGAAGAACACCAGUGGCGAAGGCGGCCUACUGGGCUUUAACUGACGCUGAGGCACGAAAGCGUGGGUAGCAAACAGGAUUAGAUACCCGGGUAGUC
RNAcentral lists this ribosomal RNA (440 nucleotides) under uncultured bacterium. RNAcentral's name for it is "partial 16S ribosomal RNA". It matches the Rfam family "Bacterial small subunit ribosomal RNA", at positions 338 to 795 of the family's 1533-position model. The record is from RNAcentral.